CUGGAGACUCCAUGGCUUCAAAAUGCAUUUUUCUGCUGGCUGCCUGAUGGCUGUCUGGGGACACAAAAUUUAGAAACCAUCCUUGCUGACUGACCCUCUUAUAUGUGCCAUUUCAGUAAUUAAGCUUCUGAUAUCACAAAUGGACUUAGCAAUUUGGAAGCAUUAUGAACAUCAUCAACAACAAGUGGUUGCCAAAUAAAGAUGACCUGAAUUAAAAGAAAGACUUUGAAUUACACAUAAGAAUUAACAAGCAUGAAUACAACAAAGUUCUUU
Non-coding RNA from Oryctolagus cuniculus (rabbit), 273 nucleotides. The record is from RefSeq and is a predicted model, not a curated record. Lineage: Eukaryota; Metazoa; Chordata; Mammalia; Lagomorpha; Leporidae.